RNAcentral lists this ribosomal RNA (441 nucleotides) under Cryobacterium sp. R-38273. RNAcentral's name for it is "bacterial SSU rRNA". It matches the Rfam family "Bacterial small subunit ribosomal RNA", at positions 21 to 476 of the family's 1533-position model. Lineage: Bacteria; Bacillati; Actinomycetota; Actinomycetes; Micrococcales; Microbacteriaceae. The record is from RNAcentral.
GGCUCAGGACGAACGCUGGCGGCGUGCUUAACACAUGCAAGUCGAACGGUGAUGGGGAGCUUGCUUCUYUGAUCAGUGGCGAACGGGUGAGUAACACGUGAGCAAUCUGCCCUUGACUCUGGGAUAAGCGUUGGAAACGACGUYUAAUACCGGAUACGACCCUUGGAGGCAUCUUUGGGGGUGGAAAGAAUUUUGGUCAAGGAUGAGCUCGCGGCCUAUCAGCUAGUUGGUGAGGUAAUGGCUCACCAAGGCGACGACGGGUAGCCGGCCUGAGAGGGUGACCGGCCACACUGGGACUGAGACACGGCCCAGACUCCUACGGGAGGCAGCAGUGGGGAAUAUUGCACAAUGGGCGAAAGCCUGAUGCAGCAACGCCGCGUGAGGGACGACGGCCUUCGGGUUGUAAACCUCUUUUAGUAGGGAAGAAGCGAAAGUGACGGU